Molecule: long non-coding RNA, 613 nt
Filed under: Salvia miltiorrhiza (redroot sage)
Lineage: Eukaryota; Viridiplantae; Streptophyta; Magnoliopsida; Lamiales; Lamiaceae
Description: long non-coding RNA (SMIL_LNC003581)
Source: RNAcentral
CAAUAAAAGGAGAAGACGCGAGGACUUAGCUUUUGUUGGAGGAGGGUCAGCUGCCCUGUUCAGUCGAGUCGAAAGGGCCGACUGCCAUGUUCCUGCGCUGACGUGAGGAUCGCUGGCAAAAGGUAAGCAGUUGCCUUAAUGUUCGUGAGCGAAUGCUAUAGACAUCCUCCUGCGAUGAUGGAUGGGAUGGUAACAUCUGCCUUUACAACUGAUAAUCCAAGAGCUUCAUCAAUUGCUCGACAACCAAUUCCCUUAAGUCUUCGAGCUUUGCUCAAUAUUGGGAUAAUGAAAUGCCCUUGCACAAAAACCACAAGAAAUCGUAAGUAAAAUUGAGUGAAAAUUAGGGCACUGAGUUUCGGCAAGAAAUUAAUUGAGAAAUCAAUGGCUGCGCCGGCGAAGUGGGCUGGUUUAACGGAGCUACGUCUCAAAGAGAGAAACGACGCCGGAAAAGGCUGGACGUCAGCCUCGCCGCACUAGAGACUAAGCAGUCGCAGAUGGUCUGCGCUGCUGUUCUGCGGUUGAAGUAGGAGACUAAGGUUGCGUUGUUCUGGUAGGACGGCGAUGGAGAAAACCGAGCUGCGAUUUGUGGACUCAAUUCACACGAAACCUCGGC